Molecule: ribosomal RNA, 506 nt
Filed under: uncultured bacterium
Lineage: Bacteria
Description: partial 16S ribosomal RNA
Rfam family: Bacterial small subunit ribosomal RNA
Source: RNAcentral
AGUGAACGCUGGCGGUAGGCCUAACACAUGCAAGUCGAACGGCAGCACAGGAGAGCUUGCUCUCUGGGUGGCGAGUGGCGGACGGGUGAGGAAUACAUCGGAAUCUACUCUGUCGUGAGGGAUAACGUAGGGAAACUUACGCUAAUACCGCAUACGACCUACGGGUGAAAGCAGGGGAACUUCGGGCCUUGCGCGAUUGAAUGAGCCGAUGUCGGAUUAGCUAGUUGGCGGGGUAAAGGACCACCAAGGCGACGAUCCGUAGCUGGUCUGAGAGGAUGAUCAGCCACACUGGAACUGAGACACGGUCCAGACUCCUACGGGAGGCAGCAGUGGGGAAUAUUGGACAGUGGGCGCAAGCCUGAUCCAGCCAUACCGCGUGGGUGAAGAAGGCCUUCGGGUUGUAAAGCCCUUUUGUUGGGAAAGAAAUCCAGCUGGCUAAUACCCGGUUGGGAUGACGGUACCCAAAGAAUAAGCACCAGCUAACUUCGUGCCAGCCGCCGCAGUAA